GAUGAACGCUGGCGGCGUGCUUAAUACAUGCAAGUCGAACGCUGAAGGAAGGAGCUUGCUCUUUCCGGAUGAGUUGCGAACGGGUGAGUCACGCGUAGGUAACCUGCCUGGUAGCGGGGGACAACUAUUGGAAACGAUAGCUAAUACCGCAUAACAGUAGAUGUUGCAUGAUACCUACUUAAAAGGUGCAUUUGCACCACUACCAGCUGGACCUCCGUUGUAUUAGCUAGUUGGUGAGGUAACGGCUCACCAAGGCGAAGAUACAGAGCCGAGCUGAGAGGGUGAUCGGCCACACUGGGGCUGGGGCACGGCCCAGGCUCCUACGGGAGGCAGCAGUAGGGAAUCUUCGGCAAAGGGCGGAAGGCUGGCCGAGCAACGCCGCGUGGGUGGAUGAGGGUUUCGGGUCGUAAAGCUCUGUUGUGAGAGAAGAACGAGGAUGGGGGUAAAAAGUUCGCACUGUGACGGUAUCUUACCAGAAAGGGACGGCUAACUACGUG
RNAcentral lists this ribosomal RNA (497 nucleotides) under uncultured bacterium. RNAcentral's name for it is "partial 16S ribosomal RNA". It matches the Rfam family "Bacterial small subunit ribosomal RNA", at positions 28 to 507 of the family's 1533-position model. The record is from RNAcentral.